UCUUCAUUUCACGCGCUCUCUCACCGGUCAGAGAGGCGAGAGAGAGAGUGUGUGAAAUGAGGAGA
Pristionchus pacificus is the source of this 65-nucleotide non-coding RNA. Lineage: Eukaryota; Metazoa; Nematoda; Chromadorea; Rhabditida; Neodiplogasteridae. The record is from Rfam.